RNAcentral lists this non-coding RNA (21 nucleotides) under Caenorhabditis elegans. The record is from RNAcentral. Lineage: Eukaryota; Metazoa; Nematoda; Chromadorea; Rhabditida; Rhabditidae.
UAGGUUUUAAAUAUGGAACUU